CCUACGGGUGGCAGCAGUGAGGAAUAUUGGUCAAUGGGCGGAAGCCUGAACCAGCCAAGUCGCGUGAGGGAGUAAGGCCCUACGGGUCGUAAACCUCUUUUUCCGGGGCGCAGUGCCCAGCUCGUGAGCUGGGAGGCAGCGUACCCGGAGAAAAAGCAUCGGCUAACUCCGUGCCAGCAGCCGCGGUAAUACGGAGGAUGCGAGCGUUAUCCGGAUUUAUUGGGUUAAAGGGGUGCGUAGGCGGGCCUUCAGGCCGGCGGGAAAAUUGCGGGGCUAAACCCCGCCGAGCCGUCGGAACCGGGGGCCUUGAGUACCGGAGAGGUACGCGGAAUGCGUGGUGUAGCGGUGAAAUGCGUAGAUAUCGCGCAGAACCCCGAUUGCGAAGGCGGCGUACCGGACGGUCACUGACGCUGAGGCACGAAAGCGCGGGUAUCGAACAGGAUUAGAUACCCUAGUAGUC
RNAcentral lists this ribosomal RNA (460 nucleotides) under uncultured bacterium. Its description in RNAcentral is "partial 16S ribosomal RNA". It matches the Rfam family "Bacterial small subunit ribosomal RNA", at positions 338 to 795 of the family's 1533-position model. The record is from RNAcentral.